Molecule: ribosomal RNA, 468 nt
Filed under: uncultured bacterium
Lineage: Bacteria
Description: partial 16S ribosomal RNA
Rfam family: Bacterial small subunit ribosomal RNA
Source: RNAcentral
GACGAACGCUGGCGGCGUGCUUAACACAUGCAAGUCGAACGGAAAGGCCCUGCUUUUGUGGGGUGCUCGAGUGGCGAACGGGUGAGUAACACGUGAGUAACCUGCCCUUGACUUUGGGAUAACUUCAGGAAACUGGGGCUAAUACCGGAUAGGAGCUCAUGCUGCAUGGUGGGGGUUGGAAAGUUUCGGCGGUUGGGGAUGGACUCGCGGCUUAUCAGCUUGUUGGUGGGGUAGUGGCUUACCAAGGCUUUGACGGGUAGCCGGCCUGAGAGGGUGACCGGCCACAUUGGGCCUGAGAUACGGCCCAGACUCCUACGGGAGGCAGCAGUGGGGAAUAUUGCACAAUGGGCGGAAGCCUGAUGCAGCAACGCCGCGUGCGGGAUGACGGCCUUCGGGUUGUAAACCGCUUUCGCCUGUGACGAAGCGUGAGUGACGGUAAUGGGUAAAGAAGCACCGGCUAACUACGUG